RNAcentral lists this non-coding RNA (29 nucleotides) under Rattus norvegicus (Norway rat). Lineage: Eukaryota; Metazoa; Chordata; Mammalia; Rodentia; Muridae. The record is from RNAcentral.
UAAUAUAUCACUUAUUUUUGUUAAUGGCA